Long non-coding RNA from Uranotaenia lowii, 283 nucleotides. RefSeq lists it as uncharacterized. NCBI's taxonomy places the organism in Eukaryota, Metazoa, Arthropoda, Insecta, Diptera, Culicidae. The record is from RefSeq and is a predicted model, not a curated record. The transcript has 3 exons.
ACAGCGAGAAAACGUGUGUGCGAAAUUGCUUAUAUUAAUACUUCCUUUCUGAGUAUCAGGUGUUGUAAUUAUCAGCAUAAUAUUAUCAGGUUAUAAAAACAGAAGUUGCUAUAGCGACUAAUAUCAUAACCUGACCGGAGCUGCUCAGAAACCACCAAUUAAAAAGAAUCCUAUAAACCGGCAAUUGGUGCUCAGUCGGCAAACGGAACACUAAGGCUAACUUACCUUAUUGAUCAAGCCGAACAUAUGAGAUCUUCGUUAAGUGCGGACAACAUACUAAACG